Molecule: ribosomal RNA, 253 nt
Filed under: uncultured bacterium
Lineage: Bacteria
Description: partial 16S ribosomal RNA
Rfam family: Bacterial small subunit ribosomal RNA
Source: RNAcentral
UACAGAGGUCUCGAGCGUUGUUCGGAUUCAUUGGGCGUAAAGGGCGCGUAGGCGGCGGGGUAAGUCUGGUGUGAAAUCUCGGAGCUUAACUCCGAAACUGCAUUCGAUACUGCCGUGCUUGAGGACUGGAGAGGAGACUGGAAUUUACGGUGUAGCGGUGAAAUGCGUAGAUAUCGUAAGGAAGACCAGUGGCGAAGGCGGGUCUCUGGACAGUUCCUGACGCUGAGGCACGAAGGCCAGGGGAGCAAACGGG